CCGCCUAUUUGGCCGGGUCGCGGCGCCGCAACAGAUCGCCGAACGGACAGGGUUUCCCCUGUGCUGCGGACAGAGUCUCCCCUGUACGUUCAAGGCAUAGCAAUCAAUACAAUGUACAAAGUUCCAACCAGGAACACAUUUCAAUCAAGAUUGCAUAAUGGAAGGUAUCAAACAACAUAACACAUCUUAUGUUAUUACAUGCAUUCACAUUCAUACAUUUUACAUUCCAAAUACUUAUUACAUUUAACUUCCAAAUACAAUCCGAUUUAACAUGAUUAUUACAAUCUUAUUCCUUUCAUUUUCUUACAUCUUUAAGAAAAGCCGACUCAGGGCACCGCUAUCUUUGGUCUCGGUGGUAGGGCGCUAACUAUGAUGCUACGCCCUCGCCUCGCGCCGCCGCGCCGCUCACGUGCGAACCUGUAAACACCCCAAAACCACGUGGGGUGAGAACCAACUCCAUGGUUCCCAGUGGGUACGGCCACCCAAGGGAAAAGCUCGACCAAUAGGUCCAAGGGAGGCAACUGCAAGUUAGUUCAAUAAACAGAUAGAUAUAUAUCUUGAUUAUGCAACGAAUAAAACCAUGCAUUGCCUCACGAAUGCAAUAAUGCAAUGCUAUAUGCAAAUCAUGCAAUAAUGCAACUAUGCAACCAACUAGUAGUUCAUUCGAUACUACUUUCAAUUCUGCUAACUAUAGCUCAUCCGUUUGAUAUCUAAGGUUUCCUCUAUCUUAAAUUCUUGUCAAUCACCGUUUUAAUCAUAAAGUUCCAUCUACCUUUACAAGGCUAACCACCCGACUCGGUCUUGAGUCAAUCGUCUGUGGAGUACCGCACUAGAACCAGGCUCGAGGCGAUGGACGUCUCACAUACACCUCAGCCCUAGAUCCUCUCAACUGGGAUACCAAAUCCAUAACUCAUAAUGCAUACUUGUUGUACACUCAUUUGGCUAUGACCCAAUCUUACCGGUUAACCAUGUUAACCCCAAUAACUCACAACCAAAUUCCUUAAUAACGGGGGACUCGAACCUCCCUAGGGACCGUCAACUGGUGGGCCUUUACCACGCCCAGUGGUGACCAACUCCGGAGCGCACCGCCCGAGGGGGAGCUACCUCCCUCAAGCCAAGACGUAACGUGAGUAUCGAUCCAAUCCUCAACUUGAGGAUUCAUAGCCACUCGUCACAAUGCCAAUGUCAUGAUAGGUCUCUACCUAUUUAAUCAUGCCACUCUCUAUGUCAACUUGGACCAAUGUCAAUAUGGUUAAACUAUGUUUAACAAUCACUUUCUUGAUGCCAAUCAUGUCUCUAUUGUCAUUGUCACCCUUGUUUACUAAUGUUCAAGUCCAACUCUCACAUUUACACAAUAAUAGGGUCCUAACAUACAUGAAUGACACCCGAAUAUACAUGAUCAAUCACCACAAGUGUUUGCUAGGUUCAAGAUGCUAGGUUUAAUGCCACUCGAUCUAAUAUAUAUAUAGAUUGUCCACUAUGUUCCACAACAUGGCAAUAUAUCAUCAAGUAUGUUUUUCUAUUUAACAUAAUCCACAAUAUGUAAAUUCACAAUAUAUCAUCAUGCACAUAUACCACUAACAUCACAUGAUAUGUCAACAUACAUAUAGUCAUUAUCCAAAAUAGUCCAUACUUAGCAUCUCAUGCAUUCUUUUAGCACUUAAUUCAUUAUGCAUUACAUUUAGCAUAUUCUACAACAUGUCAUCAUAUAUUCCUUUUAUGAUGUUCUUAUAAUGCUAACAUUCAUACGCCCUUUAUAUUAUGCAUUAAUCAUAUGCAUCCAUUUAGCAUUUCUAUAGUAUGUUAACAUGCAUUCUUUUCACAUUCUUAUAUUAUGUCAAUAUGCAUCAAUAUGAAAUCUCAUUUCUUAGACAUAAAGGGCGACCUCGUCGCUUCGGUAAGCACAACCCACCUCAUUUCGCAUUCCGAUUGCUUGUCGACACUUGCAAUCGGCCUCCCGCGGCACCCGGCACUCGGUUUGGCCCGAUCUCUUGCGCGACCAACCGAACGGCCUCCAAUUCACGAUCCGAAAAUUAAGGGUCUUCGGUUAUGUGCCACGAUGCUUCAAAUCCAUUUUCAUGAAUUUACGAUAUCGCCUCGGCCCUCCCGGCGGACUCGAAGCCUAAACGUCCAUUUCUUUAAUAACUUUGUAACGGCUCGUCGGAUUGCCGAACCGUCUUCGCCAACGCGUUCGUUUACCUAGCAAUUAGGUUUACAUAGGGUCAAAUGAGAUCAAACCCUCAUAUUUACCAAAUUAGCAUUUUUGAGCCCUAGAUUACAACUAGGUAAAAAUCCACCAUUAGAGCCUUGAUUUCAAGCAUCAAUCCUCUAAUUAGCAUACUAGAAUACCUCUAAAUCCACUCUUAGAGCUUAAAAAUCAAACUAGAGAGAAAUGCCAUUAAAGGGUUUGAAGCUUACCUUCAAAGCUUGCUCCAAUGGAGAGGAAGAAGACGAAGAAGAUGAAGAUCAACUUCCAAGCUUGCUUCUCCACCAAAACCUCCAAUUUUUGGGAGAGAUUUAGAGAGAAAAUGGGAGGUUCCUCUUUCUCCCUCUCCAAGCAUGUGUGCGUGUGUGUCGCGUGGGUGUG
RNAcentral lists this long non-coding RNA (2587 nucleotides) under Ananas comosus (pineapple). Its description in RNAcentral is "long non-coding RNA (ACOM_LNC022431)". The record is from RNAcentral. Lineage: Eukaryota; Viridiplantae; Streptophyta; Magnoliopsida; Poales; Bromeliaceae.